This 448-nucleotide ribosomal RNA is filed under the name uncultured soil bacterium. RNAcentral describes it as "bacterial SSU rRNA". It matches the Rfam family "Bacterial small subunit ribosomal RNA", at positions 26 to 477 of the family's 1533-position model. The record is from RNAcentral.
AGAUUGAACGCUGGCGGCAUGCUUUACACAUGCAAGUCGAACGGGGUGGUGGGGCAACCCGCCAUUCAGUGGCGAACGGGUGAGUAAUACAUCGGAACGUGUCCCGUAGUGGGGGAUAACCCGGCGAAAGCCGGACUAAUACCGCAUAUGCUCUACGGAGGAAAGCGGGGGACCUGAAAGGGCCUCGCGCUAUGGGAGCGGCCGAUGUCCGAUUAGCUUGUUGGUGAGGUAAUGGCUCACCAAGGCGACGAUCGGUAGCUGGUCUGAGAGGAUGAUCAGCCACACUGGGACUGAGACACGGCCCAGACUCCUACGGGAGGCAGCGAGUGGGGAAUUUGGACAAGUGGGGCAACCUGAUCCAGCCAUGCCGCGUGCGGAAGAAGGCCGUUGGUUGUAACCGUCGUUUUAAGUCGGUAAAGAAAGGCGACGGUAGAACGUACCCGUGUUC